AUUGAACGCUGGCGGCAGGCCUAACACAUGCAAGUCGAACGGGAACAGGAAACAGCUUGCUGUUUCGCUGACGAGUGGCGGACGGGUGAGUAAUGUCUGGGAAACUGCCUGAUGGAGGGGGAUAACUACUGGAAACGGUAGCUAAUACCGCAUAACGUCGCAAGACCAAAGAGGGGGACCCUCGGGCCUCUUGCCAUCGGAUGUGCCCAGAUGGGAUUAGCUUGUUGGUGGGGUAACGGCUCACCAAGGCGACGAUCCCUAGCUGGUCUGAGAGGAUGACCAGCCACACUGGAACUGAGACACGGUCCAGAGUCCUACGGGAGGCAGCAGUGGGGAAUAUUGCACACUGGGCGCAAGCCUGAUGCAGCCAUGCCGCGUGUAUGAAGAAGGCCUUCGGGUUGUAAAGUACUUUCAGCGGGGAGGAAGGGAGUAAAGUUAAUACCUUUGCUCAUUGACGUUACCCGCAGAAGAAGCACCGGCUAACUCCGUG
RNAcentral lists this ribosomal RNA (490 nucleotides) under uncultured bacterium. RNAcentral's name for it is "partial 16S ribosomal RNA". It matches the Rfam family "Bacterial small subunit ribosomal RNA", at positions 30 to 507 of the family's 1533-position model. The record is from RNAcentral.